Molecule: long non-coding RNA, 630 nt
Organism: Oncorhynchus tshawytscha (Chinook salmon)
Lineage: Eukaryota; Metazoa; Chordata; Actinopteri; Salmoniformes; Salmonidae
Source: Ensembl
UGUGACUCGGGGAGAAGCUCACAGGACAUAUUUCUCUCUUUGUUUAGGAUGGCCACCCUGCUCAGCAAGUUCAGGAUAGACUUCUCCGACAUCAACGUACUAGGAGACAUCAACACCAAGCCCAAGAAAGAGAAAACCUGAGCCCUAGGACCAUGCCUCAGGACUACCUGCCCUUAUGACUCCUGGCUGUCCCCGGUCUAACUGGUUGUGCUGCUGCUCCAGUUUCAUCUGUUCAAUGGAACUCUGACCUGUUCACCGGACAUUCUACCUUUUCCCGGACCUGCUGUCUCGACCUCUGAAUGACCGGCUAUGAAAAGCCAACUGACAUUUGUGAAUCUUUUCAGGAAACUCAGUGUAUUUCGCAGGUCACUACUUCACAAGAGAACCAUUUGAAUGUAAACUUUUUUUAAUAUCAAAAUGCAUUUGCCUUAAUAACAAACUUUUAUGCCAUCUGUAAAUAUGAAUAAAAUUGUUAAAUUACGAGCCUAGUUGGAACCUCUUGAAGCUAGGGUGCACUAUUUUUAUUUUUGGAAAAAUAACGUUCCCAAAGAAAACGCCCUAUUUCUCAGGACCAGAUGCUAGAAUAUGCAUAUAAUUGACAGCUUAGGAUAGAAAACACUCUAAAGUUUC